GUGUCAGCAGCCGCGGUAAUACGUAGGGGGCCAGCGUUGUCCGGAAUCAUUGGGCGUAAAGCGCGCGUAGGCGGCCAGAUAAGUCCGGUGUGAAAGUCAAAGGCUCAACCUUUGAAUGCCGCUGGAAACUGUCUGGCUUGAGUCCGGAAGGGGCGAGUGGAAUUCCUGGUGUAGCGGUGAAAUGCGCAGAUAUCAGGAGGAACACCAAUGGCGAAGGCAGCUCGCUGGAACGGUACUGACGCUGAGGCGCGAAAGCGUGGGGAGCAAACAGGAUUAGAAACCCCGGUAGUCC
RNAcentral lists this ribosomal RNA (292 nucleotides) under uncultured bacterium. Its description in RNAcentral is "partial 16S ribosomal RNA". It matches the Rfam family "Bacterial small subunit ribosomal RNA", at positions 505 to 796 of the family's 1533-position model. The record is from RNAcentral.